Molecule: microRNA precursor, 64 nt
Filed under: Pristionchus pacificus
Lineage: Eukaryota; Metazoa; Nematoda; Chromadorea; Rhabditida; Neodiplogasteridae
Description: mir-8364 microRNA precursor family
Rfam family: mir-8364 microRNA precursor family
Source: Rfam by way of RNAcentral
UCUUUAUUUCCCACUCUCUCUCACCGGUCAGAGAGGCGGGAGAAGAGUGUGUGAAAUGAAGAGA